CCUCAAACAUGGAGGUGUCAUGGAAGACGUGGGUAUGGGUUUGGAGAAGAGACACAGGUUGAGAAAUAUGAGGUCCUGAAAAGCACUGAUGACAUGAAAAGGACCUGUAAUGGAUUGCCGUGGACUGAAAGAAAUAGACUUGCCAUAGUCCACAGCAACAGGAUAAUCAAUCAACAAGACCCUCUAGCUAAUCAUGGAAAUUGCUGAAUGGAAGUACAAGAGAGGAAGCUUGAGUAGCCAUGGCUAAAAUAGAUCUG
Long non-coding RNA from Pseudopipra pipra, 257 nucleotides. RefSeq lists it as uncharacterized. The record is from RefSeq and is a predicted model, not a curated record. The transcript has 3 exons. NCBI's taxonomy places the organism in Eukaryota, Metazoa, Chordata, Aves, Passeriformes, Pipridae.